UCCCCGGUAGCUCAGUUGGUUUAGAGCAUCGUGCUUAUGUGUUUCCUUUUAUUUCACGAGGGUCGGGAGUUCGACUCUCCUCCGGAGAA
This 89-nucleotide transfer RNA is filed under the name Saitozyma podzolica. RNAcentral's name for it is "tRNA-Ile". It matches the Rfam family "tRNA". From Rfam's summary of the family: Transfer RNA (tRNA) molecules are approximately 80 nucleotides in length. Lineage: Eukaryota; Fungi; Basidiomycota; Tremellomycetes; Tremellales; Trimorphomycetaceae. The record is from RNAcentral.